GAUUGAGACCUGAGAAAUGUACAAGCCAUGUUUUUUGUUUCCAUUGUCGGCGUUAGAUUCUGUUUGGUUCCUCAGAAAAGUUAAGGAAGACGGAAAAGCAAGCAUUUUGGUUCUUUAACCUUUGGGAUUCAGUUCUAAUAUCCAAUUAAGCUUCACAGUUUAUCUAUUGAUUUCGUUGCAGAAUUUUAUAGUGUUACCAUUCUUUUCAUUAGAACUUUUGUCUCACCAUCGAAUAAGUUUGCCACGUCGCUUGAUUAUGAUUUUAUUUUUUUUUAUUUUUUAU
This 283-nucleotide unclassified non-coding RNA is filed under the name Hevea brasiliensis (rubber tree). The record is from RNAcentral. Lineage: Eukaryota; Viridiplantae; Streptophyta; Magnoliopsida; Malpighiales; Euphorbiaceae.